AAUCUGACUGCUUAAUCAAAACAAAGCAUCGCGAAGGCCUGUGGCAGAUACUGAUGUGAUGUGAUAUAUGCCUAGUGCUCUGAAUGUCAAAGUGAAGAAAUUCACUGAAGUGCAGGUAAAGGGCGGGAGUAACUAUGACUCUCUUAAGAAGGUAUUGAAAGAGAAGAAGGAAGUGAGAAAGAGUAUGAGAAACUCUGGAAGGUU
Molecule: non-coding RNA, 204 nt
Filed under: Mesitornis unicolor (brown roatelo)
Lineage: Eukaryota; Metazoa; Chordata; Aves; Mesitornithiformes; Mesitornithidae
Description: Eukaryotic large subunit ribosomal RNA
Rfam family: Eukaryotic large subunit ribosomal RNA
Source: Rfam by way of RNAcentral